RNAcentral lists this ribosomal RNA (159 nucleotides) under Phomopsis sp. 1 R4. RNAcentral's name for it is "5.8S ribosomal RNA". It matches the Rfam family "5.8S ribosomal RNA". Rfam says of the family: 5.8S ribosomal RNA (5.8S rRNA) is a component of the large subunit of the eukaryotic ribosome. It is transcribed by RNA polymerase I as part of the 45S precursor that also contains 18S and 28S rRNA. Functionally, it is thought that 5.8S rRNA may be involved in ribosome translocation. The record is from RNAcentral. Lineage: Eukaryota; Fungi; Ascomycota; Sordariomycetes; Diaporthales; Diaporthaceae.
AAAACUUUCAACAACGGAUCUCUUGGUUCUGGCAUCGAUGAAAAACGCAGCGAAAUGCGAUAAGUAAUGUGAAUUGCAAAAUUCAGUGAAUCAUCGAAUCUUUGAACGCACAUUGCGCCCUCUGGUAUUCCGGAGGGCAUGCCUGUUCGAGCGUCAUUU